ACGCUCGACACCUACGGGAGGCAGCAGUGGGGAAUAUUGCACAAUGGAGGGAACCCUGAUGCAGCGACGCCGCGUGAGGGAAGAAGGUUUUCGGAUUGUAAACCUCUGUCUUGUGGGACGAUAAUGACGGUACCACAGGAGGAAGCCAUGGCUAACUACGUGCCACAGCCGCGGUAAUCUGAGCGGGCUGGCAAGGC
Molecule: ribosomal RNA, 197 nt
Filed under: uncultured bacterium
Lineage: Bacteria
Description: partial 16S ribosomal RNA
Rfam family: Bacterial small subunit ribosomal RNA
Source: RNAcentral